GAUGAACGCUAGCGACAGGCCUAACACAUGCAAGUCGAGGGGCAGCACGAAGUAAGCUUGCUUACUUUGGUGGCGACCGGCGCACGGGUGCGUAACAGGUGUGCAAUCUGUCCAUAAUCGGGGAAUAGCCCAGCGAAAGUUGGAUUAAUGCUCCAUGUGAGUUUUAGAGGCAUCUCUUUAAUUUGAAACGUAAGGAUUAUGGGUGAGCACGCUUCUGAUUAGGUAGUUGGUGAGGUAACGGCUCACCAAGCCGACGAUCAGUAGGGGUUCUGAGAGGAAGGUCCCCCACAUUGGAACUGAGACACGGUCCAAACUCCUACGGGAGGCAGCAGUGAGGAAUAUUGGUCAAUGGACGAAAGUCUGAACCAGCCAAGUCGCGUGAAGGAUGAAGGUUCUAUGGAUUGUAAACUUCUUUUGUCUGAGGGUAAAAAAGCGGACGUGUCCGUUCUUGCAAGUAUCAGACGAAUAAGCAUCGGCUAACUCCGUGCCAGCAGCCG
RNAcentral lists this ribosomal RNA (497 nucleotides) under uncultured bacterium. RNAcentral's name for it is "bacterial SSU rRNA". It matches the Rfam family "Bacterial small subunit ribosomal RNA", at positions 28 to 517 of the family's 1533-position model. The record is from RNAcentral.